Unclassified non-coding RNA from Macaca fascicularis (crab-eating macaque), 149 nucleotides. It matches the Rfam family "Metazoan signal recognition particle RNA". Rfam says of the family: The signal recognition particle (SRP) is a universally conserved ribonucleoprotein. The record is from Ensembl. Lineage: Eukaryota; Metazoa; Chordata; Mammalia; Primates; Cercopithecidae.
GCCGGGCGUGGUGGCGCACGUCUGUAAUCCCAGCUACUGGGGAGACUGAGGCAGGAGAAUCACUUGAACCCUGGGAGGCAGAGGUUGCAGUGAGCCGAGAUCAUGCCACUGCAUUCCAGCCUGGGCAACAGAGUGAGACUCUGUCUCAG